GGCUCAGAACGAACGCUGGCGGCGUGCUUAACACAUGCAAGUCGAACGAGAAGUACGUAGCAAUACGUAUUGUAAAGUGGCGCACGGGUGAGUAACACGUGGGUAAUCUGCCCUCGAGUUUGGGAUAACCCCGCGAAAGCGGGGCUAAUACCGAAUAAGACCACGGGGACCAAAGUCCCUGAGGUAAAAGAUGGCCUCUAUUUAUAAGCUAUCACUUGAGGAUGAGCCCGCGGCCCAUUAGCUAGUUGGUAGGGUAACGGCCUACCAAGGCUAUGAUGGGUAGCUGGUCUGAGAGGACGAUCAGCCACACUGGAACUGAGACACGGUCCAGACUCCUACGGGAGGCAGCAGUGGGGAAUAUUGCGCAAUGGGCGAAAGCCUGACGCAGCAACGCCGCGUGGGGGAUGAAGGUUUUCGGAUUGUAAACCCCUUUCGACCGGAACGAAUCUCCUCUUGGUAAAUAAUCAGGAGGAUCGACGGUACCGGGAGAAGAAGCCGCGGCUAACUCUGUGCCAGCAGCCGCGGUAAGACAGAGGUGGCGAGCGUUGUUCGGAUUUAUUGGGCGUAAAGCGAACGCAGGUGGUUUGGUAAGUCAGGGGUGAAAGCCCACAGCUUAACUGUGGCACUGCCUUUGAUACUGCCUUUCUUGAGUGCAUGAGGGGGAAGCGGAAUUCCGAGUGUAGAGGUGAAAUUCGUAGAUAUUCGGAGGAACACCGGUGGCGAAGGCGGCUUCCUGGCAUGUAACUGACACUCAUGUUCGAAAGCGUGGGUAGCAAACAGGAUUAGAUACCCUGGUAGUCCACGCCCUAAACGAUGGGCACUAGGUGUGGGAGGUAUCGACCCCUUCCGUGCCGCAGCUAACGCAUUAAGUGCCCCGCCUGGGGAGUACGGCCGCAAGGUUGAAAC
This 906-nucleotide ribosomal RNA is filed under the name uncultured bacterium. RNAcentral describes it as "bacterial SSU rRNA". It matches the Rfam family "Bacterial small subunit ribosomal RNA", at positions 21 to 900 of the family's 1533-position model. The record is from RNAcentral.